GACGAACGCUGGCGGCGUGCUUAACACAUGCAAGUGGAGCGACGAACCAGGGCUUGCCCUGGGGCAGAGCCGCGAACGGGUGAGUAACACGUGGGUUACCUGCCCCGAUGACCGGGACAACCCGAGGAAACUCGGGCUAAUACCGGAUGUGGUCUUCGGACGAAAGGAAGCUUCGGCCUCCGCAUCGGGAUGGGCCCGCGGCGCAUUAGCUUGUUGGUGGGGUAACGGCCUACCAAGGCGACGAUGCGAGCUGGUCUGAGAGGACGAUCAGCCACACUGGGACUGAGACACGGCCCAGACUCCUACGGGAGGCAGCAGGUGGGGUAAUCUUGCGCAAUGCGCGAAAGCGUGACGCAGCAACGCCGCGUGAGGGAAGACGGCC
RNAcentral lists this ribosomal RNA (382 nucleotides) under uncultured bacterium. RNAcentral's name for it is "bacterial SSU rRNA". It matches the Rfam family "Bacterial small subunit ribosomal RNA", at positions 28 to 416 of the family's 1533-position model. The record is from RNAcentral.